This 504-nucleotide ribosomal RNA is filed under the name uncultured bacterium. RNAcentral describes it as "bacterial SSU rRNA". It matches the Rfam family "Bacterial small subunit ribosomal RNA", at positions 28 to 524 of the family's 1533-position model. The record is from RNAcentral.
GACGAACGCUGGCGGCGUGGAUUAGGCAUGCAAGUCGAACGGUAUCAUCCUUUCGGGGGUGAGAGAGUGGCGAACUGGUGAGUAACACGUAGGUUAUCUACCCUCAAGACGGGGGACAACCCAGGGAAACUUGGGCUAAUACCGGAUGUGAGCAACUUUUAGUUGUUUGAAAGGUGGCGUAAGCUGUCGCUUGGGGAUGAGCCUGCGUCCUAUUAGUUAGUUGGUGAGGUAACGGCUCACCUAGGCAAUGAUAGGUAGGCGGCCUUAACGGGUGGUCGCCCACACUGGGAUUGAGAUACGGCCCAGACUCCUACGGGAGGCAGCAGUCGAGAAUAGUCUACAAUGGUCGGAAGACUGAUAGUGCGACGCCGCGUGAACGAUGAAUCCCUUCGGGGUGUAAAGUUCUUUUAUAUGUGAGCAGUGCUUCUUAUAUUAACAGUAUGGGGAAGAGAUAUUAGCAUAUGAAUAAGCAACGGCUAACUCCGUGCCAGCAGCCGCGGUAAG